GACGAACGCUGGCGGCGUGCUUAACACAUGCAAGUCGAACGCUGAAGCUCAGCUUUUGUUGGGUGGAUGAGUGGCGAACGGGUGAGUAACACGUGAGUAACCUGCCCCCUUCUUUGGGAUAACGCCCGGAAACGGGUGCUAAUACUGGAUAUUCACUGGUCUUCGCAUGGGGGUUGGUGGAAAGGGUUUUUCUGGUGGGGGAUGGGCUCGCGGCCUAUCAGCUUGUUGGUGGGGUGAUGGCCUACCAGGGCUUUGACGGGUAGCCGGCCUGAGAGGGUGACCGGUCACGUUGGGACUGAGAUACGGCCCAGACUCCUACGGGAGGCAGCAGUGGGGAAUAUUGCACAAUGGGCGAAAGCCUGAUGCAGCGACGCCGCGUGAGGGAUGGAGGCCUUCGGGUUGUGAACCUCUUUCGCUCAUGGUCAAGCCGCAACAAUGGUUGUGGUGAGGGUAGUGGGUAAAGAAGCGCCGGCUAACUACGUG
This 483-nucleotide ribosomal RNA is filed under the name uncultured bacterium. Its description in RNAcentral is "partial 16S ribosomal RNA". It matches the Rfam family "Bacterial small subunit ribosomal RNA", at positions 28 to 507 of the family's 1533-position model. The record is from RNAcentral.